Molecule: ribosomal RNA, 405 nt
Filed under: uncultured bacterium
Lineage: Bacteria
Description: bacterial SSU rRNA
Rfam family: Bacterial small subunit ribosomal RNA
Source: RNAcentral
AACGAACGCUGGCGGCGCGCCUAAUACAUGCAAGUCGAGCGAGAAGACGUAGCAAUACGUUUGUAAAGCGGCGAACGGGUGAGGAAUACAUGGGUAACCUACCCUCGAGUGGGGAAUAACUAGCCGAAAGGUUAGCUAAUACCGCGUACGCUCCUUGGACUUCGGUUCAGGGAGGAAAGCGAUACCGUGGGUAUCGCGCUCUUGGAUGGGCUCAUGUCCUAUCAGCUUGUUGGUGAGGAACGGCUCACCAAGGCUUCGACGGGUAGCUGGUCUGAGAGGACGAUCAGCCACACUGGCACUGCGACACGGGCCAGACUCCUACGGGAGGCAGCAGUAAGGAAUAUUGCGCAAUGGGCGAAAGCCUGACGCAGCGACGCCGCGUGGGGGAGUGAAGGUCUUCGGAUU